Eubalaena glacialis (North Atlantic right whale) is the source of this 268-nucleotide long non-coding RNA. RefSeq lists it as uncharacterized. The transcript is spliced from 3 exons. NCBI's taxonomy places the organism in Eukaryota, Metazoa, Chordata, Mammalia, Artiodactyla, Balaenidae. The record is from RefSeq and is a predicted model, not a curated record.
AGAGCUCAGAAUUAGCAGAGUCAAGAAUCAAGCCGAGGCAGGCAGUCUGGCUCCUGAGUCUGUGCAGUCACCCCAGGAACUGAAGUCUGAGUCUUUGAACGCCAUGUGGGAACAAAGAUGGUUUGACUCAGCUGUGUGGUGUGCGAACGAAGAUGAGUUGAUGUAGCUGUGACCUCUGCGGAGGCAGAAGGCGAGGAACUAAGGCACCGAAGAAACUACAAUGAUGAGAUAUGGUGCCCAUCCUUAUGGAACUUACAUCUGGUUGAGG